RNAcentral lists this long non-coding RNA (1213 nucleotides) under Cricetulus griseus (Chinese hamster). Its description in RNAcentral is "lncRNA (ENSCGRG00015041625.1)". Lineage: Eukaryota; Metazoa; Chordata; Mammalia; Rodentia; Cricetidae. The record is from RNAcentral.
GUCCAGUUUAAGGAAGAUCUACUGUACUUUGUAGGUGAUCUCUCCAGGUACCAAAUGACAUGAUGAGGGGAGAUGGCAUGCCCUGGAGCUCCCCAGAGAGCAACUGUACCAUCAUGGAGUCCUUUGAGGAAGCUCACCUGCUCUGUCCAGGAGAAGUAAAUUAUAGGAGUGAAGCCACCGGAGGAAGUAGAGAAAACACAAUAUAACCAACAACUGUGACUAUGGGCACCACGUCUGUGACUUUCACGAACAAUAUGUGCUGGAAUUCCAAUCCUCAGCUGUUAAGAGGCUUCACAGACUCCAAAGUGUGGGGCUCCUCCCAUUCCUGUCUUGGUACUACCGUUCCUACCUUCUUCCUGCUGCUCUCUACAUUGCCUGCUCUUCUGAUUUACCUCUUCUCUGAAGCCUUCCCCUCAAGUUGUUUGCUACAAGCAAAUCCAAGUAUGUCACAGAGUUUGAAGUGUUCUCCGUCUAGUGGGUGCUUUUGUAGGAACAGAAGUAGCAACUGGAAGUAUGAGCUGUUUAUCAGUCCCACCAAAGGCAUUUGGGGUCAUCUCAGGAAGCCUGACAAGUACAUGAUCUGGCUAAGAAAGCUCAAAGUAGUUUGUAUCACACACCAGAGGGAAAAAAUGCACCAACUAAAUGGGGCUGAGGUGGAGAGAAGACCUUUCUGUUUAUCUACAACUGGGGAGAAUUCACUGACUUUGCAGCUAUCAAUAAGGCCAUGCUCCAGUUUGUGGAUACGAUGUCUCAUUGGGUGCCUGGCUCUUAGGAAAGGCUUCUAUAAAUGGCAGCCAUGGUUAUUCAUCAUAAUACAUCCUGUUCUAUUCAAUUCUGGACACAUGAGAGCUGUCAUGGGUAAGUUGACUUGUUCAUCUCUGGACUCAAGAUAAAACUGAGGUCAUUUUCAGACCUCCGAAAGAGAAAUGCCUCAGUAAAAGAGGAAGACGUCAAGACUGGCAAAUGCAGCAAAGGGCAUGCGUUGGGCAUUAAAAGUUUCCAUCGGCUUUGGCAAUCAGGCAGGUGACUGACACUGUUCAGUGGAGUGGAAGACUGACAGCAGAAGGGAGGUUGGGACACGUUUACCUUAGGGCUAGAAAACGCCUUUGGAAAAAUUCUAGCAGGGUUGAGCGAGGACCACAGUCCCACACAGACACUAAAAUCAUCCCAUUUCCUUGGAUUUUUGCAUUUGACUCCUAGAGAAAGCUUCUCA